Molecule: ribosomal RNA, 484 nt
Filed under: uncultured bacterium
Lineage: Bacteria
Description: partial 16S ribosomal RNA
Rfam family: Bacterial small subunit ribosomal RNA
Source: RNAcentral
AUUGAACGCUGGCGGCAGGCCUAACACAUGCAAGUCGAGCGGAUGAAGGGAGCUUGCUCCUGGAUUCAGCGGCGGACGGGUGAGUAAUGCCUAGGAAUCUGCCUGGUAGUGGGGGAUAACGUCCGGAAACGGGCGCUAAUACCGCAUACGUCCUGAGGGAGAAAGUGGGGGAUCUUCGGACCUCACGCUCUCAGAUGAGCCUAGGUCGGAUUAGCUAGUUGGUGGGGUAAAGGCCUACCAAGGCGACGAUCCGUAACUGGUCUGAGAGGAUGAUCAGUCACACUGGAACUGAGACACGGUCCAGACUCCUACGGGAGGCAGCAGUGGGGAAUAUUGGACAAUGGGCGAAAGCCUGAUCCAGCCAUGCCGCGUGUGUGAAGAAGGUCUUCGGAUUGUAAAGCACUUUAAGUUGGGAGGAAGGGCAGUAAGUUAAUACCUCGCUGUUUUGACGUUACCAACAGAAUAAGCACCGGCUAACUUCGUG